RNAcentral lists this ribosomal RNA (234 nucleotides) under uncultured Candidatus Saccharibacteria bacterium. Its description in RNAcentral is "partial 16S ribosomal RNA". It matches the Rfam family "Bacterial small subunit ribosomal RNA", at positions 584 to 818 of the family's 1533-position model. Lineage: Bacteria; Candidatus Saccharimonadota. The record is from RNAcentral.
UAAGCGGGCAGUGAAAUCUUGUGGCUCAACCACAAGGCUAUUACCUGAACUGACAAGCUUGAGUAUGGUAGAGGUCACUGGAAUUCCAAGUGUAGGAGUGAAAUCCGUAGAUAUUUGGAGGAACACCGAUGGCGUAGGCAGGCGACUGGACCAUAACUGACACUAAGGCACGAAAGCGUGGUAGCAAACGGGAUUAGAUACCCCGGUAGUCCACGCCGUAAACUAUGGAUACUA